This 297-nucleotide ribosomal RNA is filed under the name uncultured bacterium. RNAcentral's name for it is "partial 16S ribosomal RNA". It matches the Rfam family "Bacterial small subunit ribosomal RNA", at positions 337 to 631 of the family's 1533-position model. The record is from RNAcentral.
CCCUACGGGGGGCAGCAGUGAGGAAUAUUGGUCAAUGGGCUUACGCCUGAACCAGCCAAGUCGCGUGAGGGAAGACUGCCCUAUGGGUUGUAAACCUCUUUUGUCAGGGAGCAAUUGGCGCUACGUGUAGCGUUAUCGAGAGUACCUGAAGAAAAAGCAUCGGCUAACUCCGUGCCAGCAGCCGCGGUAAUACGGAGGAUGCGAGCGUUAUCCGGAUUCAUUGGGUUUAAAGGGUGCGCAGGCGGGCCUUUAAGCCGGCGGUGAAAUCGCGGGGCUCAACCCCGCCGAGCCGUCGGA